This 427-nucleotide ribosomal RNA is filed under the name Salmonella enterica. Its description in RNAcentral is "partial 23S ribosomal RNA". It matches the Rfam family "Bacterial large subunit ribosomal RNA", at positions 774 to 1199 of the family's 2925-position model. The record is from RNAcentral. RNAcentral also lists the same sequence under 1 other name. Lineage: Bacteria; Pseudomonadati; Pseudomonadota; Gammaproteobacteria; Enterobacterales; Enterobacteriaceae.
CCGAACCGACUAAUGUUGAAAAAUUAGCGGAUGACCUGUGGCUGGGGGUGAAAGGCCAAUCAAACCGGGAGAUAGCUGGUUCUCCCCGAAAGCUAUUUAGGUAGCGCCUCGUGAAUUCAUCUCCGGGGGUAGAGCACUGUUUCGGCUAGGGGGCCAUCCCGGCUUACCAACCCGAUGCAAACUGCGAAUACCGGAGAAUGUUAUCACGGGAGACACACGGCGGGUGCUAACGUCCGUCGUGAAGAGGGAAACAACCCAGACCGCCAGCUAAGGUCCCAAAGUCAUGGUUAAGUGGGAAACGAUGUGGGAAGGCCCAGACAGCCAGGAUGUUGGCUUAGAAGCAGCCAUCAUUUAAAGAAAGCGUAAUAGCUCACUGGUCGAGUCGGCCUGCGCGGAAGAUGUAACGGGGCUAAACCAUGCACCGAAG